UUGAACGCUGGCGGCAGGCCUAACACAUGCAAGUCGAGCGGUAGCACAGAGAGCUUGCUCUCGGGUGACGAGCGGCGGACGGGUGAGUAAUGUCUGGGAAACUGCCUGAUGGAGGGGGAUAACUACUGGAAACGGUAGCUAAUACCGCAUAACGUCGCAAGACCAAAGUGGGGGACCUUCGGGCCUCAUGCCAUCAGAUGUGCCCAGAUGGGAUUAGCUAGUAGGUGGGGUAACGGCUCACCUAGGCGACGAUCCCUAGCUGGUCUGAGAGGAUGACCAGCCACACUGGAACUGAGACACGGUCCAGACUCCUACGGGAGGCAGCAGUGGGGAAUAUUGCACAAUGGGCGCAAGCCUGAUGCAGCCAUGCCGCGUGUGUGAAGAAGGCCUUCGGGUUGUAAAGCACUUUCAGCGGGGAGGAAGGCGGUGAGGUUAAUAACCUCAUCGAUUGACGUUACCCGCAGAAGAAGCACCGGCUAACUCCGUG
RNAcentral lists this ribosomal RNA (487 nucleotides) under uncultured bacterium. RNAcentral's name for it is "partial 16S ribosomal RNA". It matches the Rfam family "Bacterial small subunit ribosomal RNA", at positions 30 to 507 of the family's 1533-position model. The record is from RNAcentral.